UUACUUCGGCAGUACGUAUCAUAUAUACUUAAAUCAAAAACUAUCGAGAAGAUUAGCAUGGCCCCUAUCCAAAGAUAAUAUCCAGAAGUGUGAGGCAUUCCAUAUUCUU
Molecule: small nuclear RNA, 109 nt
Organism: Ochotona princeps (American pika)
Lineage: Eukaryota; Metazoa; Chordata; Mammalia; Lagomorpha; Ochotonidae
Source: Ensembl